This 253-nucleotide ribosomal RNA is filed under the name uncultured bacterium. RNAcentral's name for it is "partial 16S ribosomal RNA". It matches the Rfam family "Bacterial small subunit ribosomal RNA", at positions 524 to 776 of the family's 1533-position model. The record is from RNAcentral.
UACGUAGGGGGCGAGCGUUGUCCGGAUUUAUUGGGCGUAAAGAGCGUGUAGGCGGUUCGGUAAGUCUGUCGUGAAAUCCUGAGGCUCAACCUCGGGCGUGCGAUGGAUACUGCCGGGCUGGAGGGUGGUAGAGGCGAGUGGAAUUCCCGGUGUAGCGGUGAAAUGCGCAGAUAUCGGGAGGAACACCAGUAGCGAAGGCGGCUCGCUGGGCCACACCUGACGCUGAGACGCGAAAGCUAGGGGAGCGAACAGG